CAGCCGCCGCGGUAAUACGUAGGGUGCGAGCGUUAAUCGGAUUUACUGGGCGUAAAGCGUGCGCAGGCGGCCCGUUAAGACAGGUGUGAAAUCCCUGGGCUCAACCUAGGAAUUGCGCUUGUGACUGGCGGGCUCGAGUACGGUAGAGGGGGGUGGAAUUCCUGGUGUAGCAGUGAAAUGCGUAGAGAUCAGGAGGAACACCGAUGGCGAAGGCAGCCCCCUGGGCCUGUACUGACGCUCAUGCACGAAAGCGUGGGGAGCAAACAGGAUUAGAUACCCUGGUAGUCCACGCCCUAAACGAUGGGUACUAGCCGUUUGGUGCGCGAUAGCGCAGAGUGGCGAAGCUAACGCGUGAAGUACCCCGCCUGGGGAGUACGGCCGCAAGGUUGAAACUUAAAGGAAUUGGCGGG
RNAcentral lists this ribosomal RNA (410 nucleotides) under uncultured microorganism. RNAcentral describes it as "bacterial SSU rRNA". It matches the Rfam family "Bacterial small subunit ribosomal RNA", at positions 509 to 917 of the family's 1533-position model. The record is from RNAcentral.